RNAcentral lists this ribosomal RNA (460 nucleotides) under uncultured Desulfovibrio sp. RNAcentral describes it as "bacterial SSU rRNA". It matches the Rfam family "Bacterial small subunit ribosomal RNA", at positions 923 to 1382 of the family's 1533-position model. Lineage: Bacteria; Pseudomonadati; Thermodesulfobacteriota; Desulfovibrionia; Desulfovibrionales; Desulfovibrionaceae. The record is from RNAcentral.
GCACAAGCGGUGGAGUAUGUGGUUUAAUUCGAUGCAACGCGAAGAAACCUUACCUAGGUUUGACAUCCGGAAGACCUUACCCGAAAGGAAGGGUGCCCUUCGGGGAAUUCCGAGACAGGUGCUGCAUGGCUGUCGUCAGCUCGUGCCGUGAGGUGUUGGGUAAGUCCCGCAACGAGCGCAACCCUAUUGCCAGUUGCUACCAGGUAAUGCUGGGCACUCUGGUGAGACUGCCCCGGUUAACGGGGAGGAAGGUGGGACGACGUCAAGUCAUCAUGGCCCUUACGCCUAGGGCUACACACGUACUACAAUGGCGCAUACAAAGGGCAGCGAUACCGCGAGGUGGAGCCAAUCCCAAAAAGUGCGUCCCAGUCCGGAUUGCAGUCUGCAACUCGACUGCAUGAAGUUGGAAUCGCUAGUAAUUCGAGAUCAGCAUGCUCGGGUGAAUGCGUUCCCGGGCCUU